AUGAACCAAAUGGGAUUCCUUAAGUAAUUGCGAAUGAACAAGGAAAUGCUCAGCUUGAAAAAUGGGGCCUUUGGCUUUGAAUUGUAAUUUUGAAAUGUAUUGCCAAUGGAGGCGCAGGUGCAAGCCUAUUGAAAGAAAGCGUCAAUGAGGGUGAGAUUCCUUUUUGUCAUUUGCAGUCCUCCGUGCACGGUAUAUAUUUGACGAGUCACACUCCUCGGCAUUGGAAUGCAAAGUGGGUGGUAAAUUCCAUGUAAAGGUAAAUAUAUUAUUGAGACUGAUAGCAAACAAGUACCAUGAGGGAAAUAUGAAAAGGACUUUGAAAAGAGAAUUAAAAGAGUCUGCAUUUGCUGAACAGAAAGCAAACAGAAUUGAUUUUACUUGGUGAGAUUGUUGUGCUUACUCUAUCAUUUAUAUGGUUGAUGUGGGUGCGAUGGUUCUUACCUUGAAUGUCAGCUUCUAUUUCUGCAAAUCAUUACCCUUGCACAUGAAUGGUAAUUUGCCUGCGGGUAUUGGAAUGCAUGUGUUUGCAAUGAUUUGUGAUUUGACGCAUGUGUUUGGUGAAAUUUGUAUAUGCUCUUUUGUCGAAGGGGAAAGCUUACUUUUUUGAGCAUUGCAAGCCCUUACACAUCAGUGCUGGCAAAAUGUUUCUGCUUGACCCGUCUUGAAACACGGACCAAGGAGUCUAACAGAUGUGCAAGUUCGUGGGUGGCAAACCUUUUUGCGCAAUGAAAGUAUUGGCUGGGAUACUUGCACCAGCAGCCGACCAAUUAGCAGACAGAGGUUUGAGUUUGAGCAUAUCUAUUAGGACCCGAAAGAUGGUGAACUAUGCCUGAACAGAAUGAAUUCAGAGGAAACUCUGAUGGAGGUUCGUAUCGAUACUGACGUGCAAAUCGUUCGUCAUAGUAGGGAUAGGG
This 914-nucleotide ribosomal RNA is filed under the name Alexandrium minutum. RNAcentral describes it as "LSU rRNA". It matches the Rfam family "Eukaryotic large subunit ribosomal RNA", at positions 56 to 922 of the family's 3401-position model. Lineage: Eukaryota; Dinophyceae; Gonyaulacales; Pyrocystaceae. The record is from RNAcentral.